ACUGCUCAGUAACACGUGGACAACCUGCCCUUAGGUUGGGUAUAAACCCGGGAAACUGGGUAUAAUACCCGAUAGGUCUCGAUUGCUGGAAUGCAUCGAGAUUUAAAGCUCCGGCGCCUAAGGAUGGGUCUGCGGCCUAUCAGGUAGUAGUGGGUGUAGCGUACCUACUAGCCUACGACGGGUACGGGUUGUGAGAGCAAGAGCCCGGAGAUGGAUUCUGAGACACGAAUCCAGGCCCUACGGGGUGCAGCAGGCGCGAAAACUUUACAAUGCUGGCAACAGCGAUAAGGGAACCUCGAGUGCCAGGUUACAAAUCUGGCUGUCGAGAUGCCUAAAAAGCAUUUCAUAGCAAGGGCCGGGCAAGACCGGUGCCAGCCGCCGCGGUAACACCGGCGGCUCGAGUGGUAACCGUUAUUAUUGAGUCUAAAGGGUCUGUAGCCGGCCGGAUAAGUCUCUUGAGAAAUCUGGCAGCUUAACUGUCAGGCUUUCAGGAGAUACUGUCUGGCUCGAGGCCGGGAGAGGUGAGAGGUACUUCAGGGGUAGGGGUGAAAUCUUGUAAUCCUUGAAGGACCACCAGUGGCGAAGGCGUCUCACCAGAACGGACCUGACGGCAAGGGACGAAAGCUAGGGGCACGAACCGGAUUAGAUACCCGGGUAGUCCUAGCCGUAAACGAUACUCGCUAGGUGUCGGCCACGGUGCGACCGUUGUCGGUGCCGUAGGGAAGCCGUGAAGCGAGCCACCUGGGAAGUACGGCCGCAAGGCUGAAACUUAAAGGAAUUGGCGGGGGAGCAC
RNAcentral lists this ribosomal RNA (793 nucleotides) under uncultured archaeon. Its description in RNAcentral is "bacterial SSU rRNA". It matches the Rfam family "Archaeal small subunit ribosomal RNA", at positions 85 to 879 of the family's 1478-position model. The record is from RNAcentral.